Molecule: long non-coding RNA, 2351 nt
Organism: Aphis gossypii (cotton aphid)
Lineage: Eukaryota; Metazoa; Arthropoda; Insecta; Hemiptera; Aphididae
Exons: 4
Source: RefSeq, a predicted model, not a curated record
CUCCAUGCAGCUGCAGUUAUUCUCUAGAAUUAAAUUUGAACAAGGAUUAUACGUUACAAAUUGCCACCAGACUUCCAUAAUAUAAUACAGCGGAAAUAUACUUUGUAUUAAUUUUUGUUAUAAUUCUGAUAUUUGGUAAUUUCCGAAAUUGGCACACUCCCCCACACAAAAAUUUUACGGAUACUAUUACAAUGCUUAUCCCGUAUAACAGAAUUUUUGUCCUCUCCAAAGUCAACCAUAAAUAUCGUUGUUAAAUGAGAGAUGUACAACGACGAUGAAAAAAUAAACAAAAAUAACAAUAUUGAUGUUAGCGAUCGGUAUUCAGUGAGAAAUUAAAUCGAUAGAAGAUGAGUCCACCAAUUAUUUUAACUUCAACGCUGUACGUAUAGAUACUAUAGAAUAUAGUCAUCGUAUUUGUACGUCACGGGUGUGUCGUGUGUACGUUUGUGUACUCGAAAAGUGAAUUUCAAAUGUAUAUCUUAAACCUUUCACCGAUGAAUACAUUCGCAUAACCUAACCCUUUAAAAACAUCUGUUAUGAAUAGAAUUAUUAGUUAGUAAACGUAAGAUAAAAUAUAGAAUAACUACAAUGUUGUAAUUUAUUUCUAUUUGAUUUUUUUCCGUGACGUGUAAAGAGAAACACGAUACCACAGAUAUCUACCUAUACAUCAUCACGUUAAAAUAAAUCGAUCAAUUCCGUCAAAUCACCUUAAAUUAUAACGAUUCUUUUAUAUUAAGGUUUGACUAUUCUCGUCGGCUUAGUACUAUUAUAGGUAUUGUAUAAGAAUUGGCAUUGGUUGCUUAGCGACGCUUAUUGCAUAUUAUAGCCGUCUCCGAUGUUAUACCUAUAUAGUAUAUAAUAAUACUACGUUAAAGCUUCGGAUGUCCCCGAAACGUAGCUGAAAAAUGUUAACCUCUAUUGAAACUCAGAUACAAUAUACGUCAGCAGCGUAACAGAAUCUUUUGUUAUCACCAAAAAACUUACUAAAAAUAGUUCAAAAUUAUAUAACGCAACACAACAACAGUCUGGUGCACAAACCAAUUAGUUACAAAAUAUAUCAUUGCUCGUUACUCGACUGUCGUUAGUCGUAUAACUGGAAAAUGUCUGUUCUAAGGUGGUACAGGCAUAAUAUAUCAUUGAUGUGGAAAUCAACUACCUAGUUGAAAAGAACUUGAGUAGUUUAUUUACAUCGGUGGCACAACACACGGCCGUUUUAUAGUAUACCUUUCGAUGUAGUGGUCAUUGGUGUGUGUACGUGUAUGGAGUACAUCAUCACUACAAGAGGCUUGUAGCUUGUUCACCGAUGGGACGGAAAACCUAAGAAGGAUCUAAAACUCUCAACUCGAGAGUAUCAACAUACUUUCCGAACAAAAAAAAUUAAACCAUAAUUGCGCAUAAAUGUUAUAUUUAUAACACAGAAAAAUGACUUUUAACUAGAACCAAGUAGAUUGUUAUAUAGAGAUAGAGUGUUCAAAUAACUUUCAAAAAGUGAGCAUCUGACUAUAAUAGAAUACAACAAUAAUAAUAAUGAUUGUAGAAUAGUUGGUUUUCAACAGUUACACCAACCCGGUAAAUGGUAGGUAAUCUAUGUAUAGUAAUAUUGUGAUUACUGCUAAUAAAAUGAAAAUAAAUGUUUUAUUUAUUAGUGAACGAAAACGGUCACAUUACUACAUCGUUAUAUUUUUACAAUAAAUCAAUCACAAUUUGUAGUUCAGAAACUAAUCGAUUAAAGUUGUAUAAAAAUUUUUGGGAUUUAAUGUCAAACAAUAUUUUUUAGAAAAAAAGACAAAUAUACAUAGUUAUUUUUUUAAUUAACAUUUAAUUCUAUCUGAACUGUAGUUUUACUUUAACUUUAUUGCUUUGUAUAAUACUACUCCUGUGGAGCCGACCGCGAGAUAUGAACCGGAUGACAUUUUAACUGUACAUAGAAUGUAUAAAUGCCAUGUCACAAUAUUUAUAAUUGAUAAAUUUAUGAUACUUUAAAAACUUACGUUUUUUCUGUUACAAUCAUAGAAAUAAAAAACUAUAAAUAAAAUAUUAUUGCUUAAUUCUUAAAGAUAUAAUAAAAACUGUUUGAAUAUAAUAUUAUUAAAGGUGUAUUUUUAAGGAAGUGUCCUCCAUGUCUAGACACCCUCGCCCACUUCAUAAGAAAUAGACCAAUGUAUUAUUAAUAUUUGCUAAAGUGAAAUUCAUUUUAUUAGAUCCGACUACAUGUUUCGAUUUGUAUACAUAUAAGCCAAGUUUACUUACCAUAGUAUUACUAUAUUACUAAUGCUGAAAAUCUUAUAUUGACCAUCAUUACUACGAAUUAUAUAAUAUUGUCAUUAUUUACUGUAUUAUACGAUUUUGAU